Molecule: long non-coding RNA, 808 nt
Filed under: Homo sapiens (human)
Lineage: Eukaryota; Metazoa; Chordata; Mammalia; Primates; Hominidae
Description: non-protein coding lnc-TRMT44-5:1
Source: RNAcentral
CAGCCCCGUGUGUGGUUGCCAGGACCCACUAGCAACGGGUCACCUGAGCGGCACGUGCGGCUCUGCUGCCCAUGCGUGAUCUCUUCACCGGCCUGGAUUCGAGGCCCUUGCUGUGCACUGGAAUGUUCUCACCAUGCUGCUUUUCACUCAGGACUUCUAGGGCUUGUUUCUUCCCAACAAGGUAGAAAAGGCCCUUAAAAGUGACGACCCUGAAGCUCGUGAAUUAGCAACUGCAUUCAGAGGCUCGUUUCUAAGCCUUGGCUUAUCUGGGCAACUGCUGUUCCAGUAAAGGAAAAUAUGUUCAGAAAACAUGUAAUAGAGAAGGCAUUUAUGAGCACUUGGAAAAGCCAUAAGCAUAUGAAGUGCCCACCGCAGCAGCACCAGCACCAGCACAAGUGGCUCCUCAAAAUCAGUGCAAUGAAAGGAAAUCGGAGACCCUCACUCACACAGCCGCCUUCCCCCAACCCAGCGGCUGCCGUGCUAAACAGCACAGCACUGCAGCUUCUGUCCCCGGAUGGAAGAGAGAUGCCGGAUCAGAAUGUGGGGUUGGGGCCCUCUGUAUUCCCAAGUCUAGGCACUCCUGGCUCGUGUCUGUCUGUGCCUUAUGGGACCUAGUGGGUGGGCUUCUGCUCUCUGCAGAGCCCGGCAGGCUGCCUGGCAUGAGGGGGCCUUCUGGAAGUGUUCUCUGAACCGAACCCCAAGUGAAAGAAAAAUUGGGUUUCUCGGCACCACCCUGACGCUGCUCUGCCCCAUAUGCUUCUCAUUAUGGAACUGGGCUUCUCAUCUGUCCACAGCGCCAUCCGCCGUG